Long non-coding RNA from Theropithecus gelada (gelada), 799 nucleotides. The record is from Ensembl. NCBI's taxonomy places the organism in Eukaryota, Metazoa, Chordata, Mammalia, Primates, Cercopithecidae.
AGGCAGCUCCGUAGCAUGAGGAAGAGUCGGGCACAGAGAGGUGGAGAAAGACCUAAAAUUAGUUUCAGUAACAAAAUAUCAGAUACGAAAAUUGCCAGAUGUGCUACAACUAGAGUUAAUAUUAAGACCAGAGCAUCAGAUUCAGUUUGACCAAGUCUUUGACAAUUAUCCUGACCAGGAGAAGACCGCUGAUCUUAGAAACAGACACAUCACCUUCACUUUGGGAUAUGGAAUUUGAUAAGCAGUUAGCCACAGAAUAUGAACAACCCCUUUAAAAUGAGAUUGCAGUGCUGAUCCAGUGGACAAAAGAGGGGAAACUGAGAGUUCCCGAUUGACAAUGAAGCAGAAUACAAGCGAUGGUGGCAGAGGGAGGAAGUAACUCACACCAGGAAGAACAAACAGCUGCUGGAAUAUGCUUGUGGUUUAGAGCUUCUUUUAAAAAUCCUGUCAGCUGCAAAGAAAGGAAGGACUAAUAUUUUCCAUGAUGUCAGUAACAUCUUUAUGAAGAUGUUCCUUUUGAAUGUGGUACAGAAAGUUGGAAAACACUUAGGCAUAGUAUCUGGCAUAGUGCCCCUUAGGGAGCACUUCAUAUACAGACGGUCUGGGGCUUAGGAUGGUUUGACUUAAAAUUUUUUGACUUUAUGAUGGUUCCAAAGGUGAUGCACAUUCAGAAGAAAGCGAACUUUGAGUCCCCAUACAACUAUCCUGUUUUUCAUGUUUAGGACAUUGUUCCCAUAAAUUACAUGAGGUAUUCAGCCCUCUAUAAUAAAAAAUAAUUUAUGUUAGAUGAUUUUGCUCA